This 756-nucleotide ribosomal RNA is filed under the name uncultured Pseudomonadota bacterium. RNAcentral's name for it is "bacterial SSU rRNA". It matches the Rfam family "Bacterial small subunit ribosomal RNA", at positions 28 to 773 of the family's 1533-position model. The record is from RNAcentral. Lineage: Bacteria; Pseudomonadati; Pseudomonadota.
AUUGAACGCUGGCGGCAGGCCUAACACAUGCAAGUCGAACGGUAACAGGAAGAAGCUUGCUUCUUUGCUGACGAGUGGCGGACGGGUGAGUAAUGUCUGGGAAACUGCCUGAUGGAGGGGGAUAACUACUGGAAACGGUAGCUAAUACCGCAUAACGUCGCAAGACCAAAGAGGGGGACCUUCGGGCCUCUUGCCAUCGGAUGUGCCCAGAUGGGAUUAGCUAGUAGGUGGGGUAACGGCUCACCCAGGCGACGAUCCCUAGCUGGUCUGAGAGGAUGACCAGCCACACUGGAACUGAGACACGGUCCAGACUCCUACGGGAGGCAGCAGUGGGGAAUAUUGCACAAUGGGCGCAAGCCUGAUGCAGCCAUGCCGCGUGUAUGAAGAAGGCCUUCGGGUUGUAAAGUACUUUCAGCGGGGAGGAAGGGAGUAAAGUUAAUACCUUUGCUCAUUGACGUUACCCGCAGAAGAAGCACCGGCUAACUCCGUGCCAGCAGCCGCGGUAAUACGGAGGGUGCAAGCGUUAAUCGGAAUUACUGGGCGUAAAGCGCACGCAGGCGGUUUGUUAAGUCAGAUGUGAAAUCCCCGGGCUCAACCUGGGAACUGCAUCUGAUACUGGCAAGCUUGAGUCUCGUAGAGGGGGGUAGAAUUCCAGGUGUAGCGGUGAAAUGCGUAGAGAUCUGGAGGAAUACCGGUGGCGAAGGCGGCCCCCUGGACGAAGACUGACGCUCAGGUGCGAAAGCGUGGGGAGCAAAC